CCUACGGGAGGCAGCAGUGAGGAAUAUUGGUCAAUGGGCUUACGCCUGAACCAGCCAAGUCGCGUGAGGGAAGACUGCCCUAUGGGUUGUAAACCUCUUUUGUCAGGGAGCAACGCCGGCUACGUGUAGCCGGACUGAGAGUACCUGAAGAAAAAGCAUCGGCUAACUCCGUGCCAGCAGCCGCGGUAAUACGGAGGAUGCGAGCGUUAUCCGGAUUGAUUGGGUUUACAGGGUGCGUAGGCGGAAUGCCAAGUCAGCGGUAAAAUCGCGGGGCUCAACCUCGCCCCGCCGUUGAAACUGGCGUUCUUGAGUGGGCGAGAAGUAUGCGGAAUGCGUGGUGGAGCGGUGAAAUGCAUAGAUAUCACGCAGAACUCCGAUUGCGAAGGCAGCAUACCGGCGCCCAACUGACGCUGAAGCACGAAAGCGUGGGUAUCGAACAGGAUUAGAUACCCGAGUAGUC
This 460-nucleotide ribosomal RNA is filed under the name uncultured bacterium. RNAcentral describes it as "partial 16S ribosomal RNA". It matches the Rfam family "Bacterial small subunit ribosomal RNA", at positions 338 to 795 of the family's 1533-position model. The record is from RNAcentral.